This 233-nucleotide ribosomal RNA is filed under the name uncultured bacterium. Its description in RNAcentral is "partial 16S ribosomal RNA". It matches the Rfam family "Bacterial small subunit ribosomal RNA", at positions 99 to 334 of the family's 1533-position model. The record is from RNAcentral.
CGGACGGGUGAGUAAUGUCUGGGAAACGUGCCCGAUGGAGGGGGAUAACUACUGGAAACGGUAGCUAAUACCGCAUAACGUCGCAAGACCAAAGAGGGGGACCUUAGGGCCUCUUGCCAUCGGAUGUGCCCAGAUGGGAUUAGCUAGUAGGUGGGGUAAAGGCUCACCUAGGCGACGAUCCCUAGCUGGUCUGAGAGGAUGACCAGCCACACUGGAACUGAGACACGGUCCAG